Molecule: ribosomal RNA, 244 nt
Filed under: uncultured Staphylococcus sp.
Lineage: Bacteria; Bacillati; Bacillota; Bacilli; Caryophanales; Staphylococcaceae
Description: partial 16S ribosomal RNA
Rfam family: Bacterial small subunit ribosomal RNA
Source: RNAcentral
CGGCGGACGGGUGAGUAACACGUGGAUAACAUACCUAUAAGACUGGGAUAACUUCGGGAAACCGGAGCUAAUACCGGAUAAUAUAUUGAACCGCAUGGUUCAAUAGUGAAAGACGGUUUUGCUGUCACUUAUAGAUGGAUCCGCGCCGCAUUAGCUAGUUGGUAAGGUAACGGCUUACCAAGGCAACGAUGCGUAGCCGACCUGAGAGGGUGAUCGGCCACACUGGAACUGGGACACGGUCCAG